This 43-nucleotide ribosomal RNA is filed under the name Bryomyces phyllanthus. RNAcentral describes it as "Plenogemma phyllantha partial 28S ribosomal RNA". Lineage: Eukaryota; Viridiplantae; Streptophyta; Bryopsida; Orthotrichales; Orthotrichaceae. The record is from RNAcentral.
UCGACCCCGAUGACCGUCGGGAGAAGCGUCACGCAUCACACCU